RNAcentral lists this ribosomal RNA (486 nucleotides) under uncultured bacterium. RNAcentral describes it as "partial 16S ribosomal RNA". It matches the Rfam family "Bacterial small subunit ribosomal RNA", at positions 30 to 507 of the family's 1533-position model. The record is from RNAcentral.
AUUGAACGCUGGCGGCAUGCCUUACACAUGCAAGUCGAACGGCAGCACGGGUGCUUGCACCUGGUGGCGAGUGGCGAACGGGUGAGUAAUACAUCGGAACAUGUCCUGUAGUGGGGGAUAGCCCGGCGAAAGCCGGAUUAAUACUGCAUACGAUCUACGGAUGAAAGCGGGGGCCCUUCGGGCCUCGCGCUAUAGGGUUGGCCGAUGGCUGAUUAGCUAGUUGGUGGGGUAAAGGCCUACCAAGGCGACGAUCAGUAGCUGGUCUGAGAGGACGACCAGCCACACUGGGACUGAGACACGGCCCAGACUCCUACGGGAGGCAGCAGUGGGGAAUUUUGGACAAAGGGCGAAAGCCUGAUCCAGCAAUGCCGCGUGUGUGAAGAAGGCCUUCGGGUUGUAAAGCACUUUUGUCCGGAAAGAAAUCCUUGGCCCUAAUACGGUCGGGGGAUGACGGUACCGGAAGAGUAAGCACCGGCUAACUACGUG